Molecule: non-coding RNA, 78 nt
Filed under: Prevotella sp. AGR2160
Lineage: Bacteria; Pseudomonadati; Bacteroidota; Bacteroidia; Bacteroidales; Prevotellaceae
Description: L13-Bacteroidia ribosomal protein leader
Rfam family: L13-Bacteroidia ribosomal protein leader
Source: RNAcentral
GGGGACGCGUCUUAGAAUCCCCGCAGCCCGAUGGUGUUAAUAGCUCUUUCCAUGGCCGGGAAGAGUGGUUAGUGAAUC